RNAcentral lists this long non-coding RNA (4485 nucleotides) under Mytilus galloprovincialis (Mediterranean mussel). Lineage: Eukaryota; Metazoa; Mollusca; Bivalvia; Mytilida; Mytilidae. The record is from RNAcentral.
GUGAUUGAUCGUGAGUAUUUUUUUCUCCUAUUACGCAAUUUUACACAAUUGUAGGAUACAGCCAGUUUUUAAUAUCUUUAAACAAAACAACACUGGGUGGAUGUUUUUAAAAUCAUGAUACGUAUUACCAGUACCGUUUGAACUAGUGCAGUUAGUUUUAGUAUAAUGUAUUGCAGAACAAUUGCAUUACUGGAAAAUAGUGUAAACAAAUAAAUGCGUUUUUAUAAUUUUCAAAUACUACAAAUGCUGAAGAUAGAUUGCAGGCAUCUAGUAACUGGUUAAACUUGUAUUAUAGUUCGUACCUGUGUGUCUUCUGUCUAUCUUGACUAUGUGUUGAUUUCAAUUAUUUGUUCGUAUAUAAAUAUAUACUAUAUGAAACUCCUGUUUCAUUAUAUAGAAAUAGAUCAGAUUUUGUAUAAUUAGCCAAGACAAAACUUUCAUUUUUAGAUUAAAGGAUAUGUACAGCUUACGGUCCCUGUAUGGCGUUCAAGUUAACUGAAAAAGUAAAAUAAGAAGGAAAAAAUCCGAGGAAAAAACAAAACGAAAAGUCCCUAAUCAAAUGGCAAAAUUAACAACUCAAACACAAAAACCGAAUGAACAACAACUUUCAUAUUCCUGAUAUGGUACAGGCAUGUUCUUAUGUAGAAAAUGGUGGGUUAAACCUGGUUUUAAAGCUUGAUAAAACUCUCACUUGUAUGGCAGUCGUAUAAAAAUCCAUUAUAUUGACCACGAUUUGUGAACCAAACAAACUGACAUCAUAGGUAAAAAUGUCAAAAAUUGGGAUACAGCAGUCAACGUUGUGAUAUUAUCUUAAUCAAUAUAAAAACAAACAGAUAUAUUAACAAACAUUUACCAUGACACAACAACACAAUGACGGGAUGUAUAAGUACAGAGCCACGUCACAUACAAAAACGAAACACAAAAAGGCACACAAACAACGCAAAUAUCAAAAACGAAAAACAAGAAUACAGAGAUAAUCAUAGAAAAAAACGCAAUAACGAGAUGUAUAAGUACACAGCUACUUCAUAUGUAACUACGAAACACAAAAAGGUAUACAGAAAAAGCAUUUUAGAAAAAUGAAAGACAAAAAUUAGACAGAACAAUAACACGAUGGCGGGAUGUAUAUUAAGUUCCAAGCCACAUCAAAUUGAUACCACCAAAAGAAGACUAAGAAUAAAAGUAACACACAUUUUGCGUUUCUUUCUAUAAAAGAUAAACAGAACAUUUUGAAAUAAGAAAAUCGGAAUCUGUCUUUGCCACGAAAGGGGGACGAUUGUGAUUCCAAUAUAUUCAUAUAUCCGUAAUGAAUGAAUACAUGACUUUUAGACUGUUCAAAUGUAAGAUGUCAACAUGGUGGUGUGUGCCGAAGUAGUUUUCGAGGUUUCCACUGUUACUGUACCACUGGUUAUAACGGAACUUACUGUCAGAGUAGUAAGUAUAUCGUCCAUUAUUUAUAAUUUGUAUAUACCUAGUAAACAUUUUCGUGGUGUCAGUGUGCAUAAUGACAGUUCAAUUUACUGUAAAGUAGUAAGUAAAUCUUGAUGAUGGAAGUUUUAAACGACCUUGACCGACUAUAAAGUAAAGUAAAUCGUGCAUUAUUUCAACGUUUUAUGUACAUCAUGUACAUAGAAGACAUAUUCCUGGUGUCAGUGUGCAUAAUGACAGUUUGAAAGUUCAUCAACUUGAACGAGUGAUCUUUAAUUGACAUGAAGCAAAAAAAAAAAUUUUGUAUCAUAAUGUGGUAAGGGAACAUAAGGUAUAGAAUGCUCAUUGACCGCCACCUAGUAUUAAAUUCUCACCUAGUGACUUUAAAAAUAAAGGUUAAAAAAGGCAAAUUAUUAGACGACAAACCUCUUUCUUGCAAAACAUAGAAGUUCAUUUGAUGAAUUGAAUAGAGCGACAACUACCUUGCGAUUUAAUCAAAAAUGUCGACAGGUAUUCAUUGAGCAUGAUCAUGAUAAAAAGGUAGAAAUUGUUUAGAUAAUAGUGUACUUCGAUGAAUGAUUCAUAAUAAGUUCAAAAACUUCAAACUGUCACUUACUCGAAGUGAAAACUACACUUAUAAAUGAAUUUAACAAUUAGAAAAUAUUCAUAAAAAUGACAUGACAUAAAGUAUGCAUGACUUUUAAAACCUUUUCCUCAUAACAUUUCUGCGAAAAAAUUACAGCUGUUUGCUUUGCUUUACUUUAAUUUUCAUGAACGUUAUUAAUUACAGUUUGUAUGUUAAAUAAUAUAUACAAUUGUAUGUUGAUAGGUACAGCAACCAAACCAUCUGUUUUAACGACAAGUGAGUACAAUGCUAGCACUUAAAUUUGAUUUGUUUGAUCAUAUAAGCAGAUUGGUCCGUCAUUGUGACUCUUUGACUUUUGUUGUUAAAUUCAAAGACAUAGGUCGAAAAUAUUUUGUGUUGUUGUAGAAAUUCUAGCAGAUUGCUUUCCGGAAUUACUUACUAAAUUCAUAUGUACGGGAGGCUUUGAAUCAUACAACCAGUUUUAUCCUUCACUAUGGUACAAGGAAAAACAUACCAAUUGUACUGUAUGCAAAAUACACUAAAUGUCAUAAAAAAAAAUUCCCACAUUAUUUUGUGUAAGUUUUAAUAAGUUCAUUUACAGACAGGAAGACACCUAAUUCUAGAACGCAAUCGUAAAUCUGAAAAAUGUAUUUUAGUAACCAUUAUCAUGACUAAAUUUUAACCUUAUAGCUAGAACCAAAAUAUCUUAUAUAUUUGACUCGAAGUAUAUAAUUUUGAAAUGAUAUAGUCUAUUAUUCAUAAUUAAAUUAUCUAUUCACUUCUUUCUAUCUUAUUUUAAAACAAAACUGUGAUAUGUUCCCAUUUAUUUUAGCUUUUCUCCUCCCUACUACAGCUCUUCCAACUAUUCCAACGACAGGUAAAUAUUAAAACCCUUGCUGAAGUUUUCAGUGUUAAUUGUUAACAUAAGAAGAUGUGGUUUGAUCGCCAAAGCAACAGAUCACUACAGGAGAUCAAAUGACAAAGAAAUUCACAACUAUAGGUCACCGUACGACAUUCAACAGUUUGAUUGUUCGUGGGUUAAUAAGUUUAUGAACAAAAUGGAAAACACACCACGUUUUCGGCCGAUAGAAAACUAUUUGACAUGUCAUUAUCAUGGUUACAUUUUUUCUUGCUAGACAGAAACAAAUAUCUUACAACGAUAUAUAUUUGGACCUAAUUUAAGGUAGCACAAUACAAAGAUUUUUCAUCCCCAAUCAGACAUCUUUAAACUGACGUAAUUCCACUCAUCCUUCUUUAAAUUUUAUAAAUGAGGUACCAAAAGAAAGAAGAAUGAUUAAUCUUUAAAUUGUGAUAAUUUCAUUAUGACAUAAUAAUUACAUAAUUAAUUGUUAUGUAGUUAGUUGCUAUAUUGUGAUGUCCAUACUUGAAUGAAUUUAGCUUCUUUGUUAUUCAUAGCAUCCCAAAAUAUUUUAUAGAUUCUUGCACAGCACAGUUUGACCUCCAAAACUGUGUCUCAGAUUUUUCCUAUUGUAUUUCAUUCUCUCAUAAAUCUUCAAUGAAAUUUGCAACAUCAAUUCAUAAGAGAUCACUAAAUUCAAUGUGGUAUAAAAUUUGUUCUAUUGAUGUUUUUGGAAAUCUGAGACACAGUUUUGGAGGUCAAGCUGUGUUGUACAAGAAUCUAUAAAAUAUUUUGGGAUGCUAUGAAGAACAAAGACGCUAAAUUCAUUCAAGUGUGGAUAUCACAAUAUAGCAAUUAAUUACAUAAUAAUUGAUUAUGUAAUAAUUAUGUCAUAUUGAAAUUAUCACAAUUUGAAAGAUCAAUUUUUCCUCCUUCUUUAAGUUUAAACAUAUUUAUUUAUAGUGGAUUGGGAAACAAGUUUUGCAACUUAUAUUAAUCCCUUUCCACUUUGCGGGUGCGAGUGCUGCCUUGUAGCGGCAUUAGCCUACUCUUUUUCGAAAUCUACAAGGGUGUCUUUAACGUGCAAGAGAUAUGGCUCUCUCUUAACACGGGUCAGCCAUGUAUCGUCCCCUUCCGACGGACUAUCAUCGUUUCCUCAAGACCAUACUCGCAGAUGGUGUCAAGUUCCUGAAAUUUUCAUCCCAAACGGGAAUCGAACCAGGAACCUUUGUGUCAGUAGUCCGAUGCACUAACCACUACACCACGGCUUCUUUUGGUACAUGUACCUCAUUUAUAAAAUAUAAAGAAGAAUGAAAUGAAUUACAUCAAAUUAACGUUGUCUGAUUGGGAGUGAACAAAUCUUUGUAUUGUGCUACCUUAAAUAACAGUUUAUCGCUUUUAAUCUAAUUUUAUCAGAGAAGUUGUAUAGAUAUUAAGAAAUCUGAUCUGAUCUUAAAACAAAAAUGUGAUAUGUUUACAUUUACUUUUAGCUUUACCUCCCACUACUACAGCUAUUCCGACUCUUCCAACCACAGGUAAAUAUUUAAUUUAUUACUUAAUUUUUAAUUACCAUAGUAUGUUGAUAGCAACCAAAAGACAACUGUUUAAACGCGAG